GCGGGUGUGGCGGAACUGGUAGACGCACUGGAUUUAGGUUCCAGCGCCGCAAGGCGUGGAGGUUCAAAUCCUCUCACCCGCACCA
RNAcentral lists this transfer RNA (85 nucleotides) under Devosia sp. Its description in RNAcentral is "tRNA-Leu". It matches the Rfam family "tRNA". Rfam says of the family: Transfer RNA (tRNA) molecules are approximately 80 nucleotides in length. Lineage: Bacteria; Pseudomonadati; Pseudomonadota; Alphaproteobacteria; Hyphomicrobiales; Devosiaceae. The record is from RNAcentral.